This is a non-coding RNA of Triticum aestivum (bread wheat), 135 nucleotides long. Lineage: Eukaryota; Viridiplantae; Streptophyta; Magnoliopsida; Poales; Poaceae. The record is from Rfam.
AAUGUACUCCCUCCGUCCCAAAAUUCUUGUCUUAGAUUUGUCUAAAUACGGAUGUAUCAAGUCACGUUUUAGUAUUAGAUAGAUUCAUAUCUAGUCAAAUAUAAGACAAGAAUUUUGGGAUGGAGGGUGUACUAC